This is a long non-coding RNA of Aethalodelphis obliquidens (Pacific white-sided dolphin), 1030 nucleotides long. RefSeq lists it as uncharacterized. The record is from RefSeq and is a predicted model, not a curated record. NCBI's taxonomy places the organism in Eukaryota, Metazoa, Chordata, Mammalia, Artiodactyla, Delphinidae. The transcript is spliced from 4 exons.
UGUUUGGGCUGGAAUAUCCUGGGGCUUCUCCUUCCUAAUUCUUUAGUGUCCUCGGAUCCUGCCCUCUGACCAGUGCUCGGAACUUCCCUUCAGAGUAGAAUCCUCUUUUUUUUUUUUGACUUUUACAAGCGGGGAAAAGACCUGCGCCCACUAGUUGUAAACACUGGGAGAACAAAAUAUUGUAUAUGUAGUACGGCUUAUUUUUCUGUAAAACCCUCGUUCCGCGGACUCCUAAUUGUAUUAAGAGCUUUUAUAUUUUGGUUUUUUGUAUUUUGACUACAUUGUGGUGCGGUAGUAGUGCCGGAAGGCCUAAUCCUGCAAUGAACCCUGCUAUUCACUGAGCACCUAGUACGUACUAAGUACCGUUCUGGGCGCCGGGAAAAUAACUGCCGUUGCAAUCUGAAGGAGCAGGAAAGUCUUAAUAAUAAUUACGUCUAGCUUUUUUUUUUUUUAAGUCGUUUUACAAAUUUCUCAACUUUCUUUGUGGGCGUAGUACAUUUCGGUUUACUGGAGUCUUGUUAAAUCUUUUGUUUACACCUACCAUAGCUACUAUAAUACAAGUCUGUUUUCUCAUUUCUUAACUUUUCAUAGGAUUAUCAUUCUCAGAAGGCAGGAAAUAUUUAUCUACUAACUACGCACAGCACCGCCUUUAGGAAAUGCUUUCUCAGCUGUAUACGCUGCAGACACUGCGUGCCCACCUCCUGCCACCCGCCCCACCCGUAUUUCUUUCUGACAGAGCUCAAAAUCUAGCUUUCUUUGGGGUGAAAUGUAACAUUUAAUAUAAAUUCUAGAUAAAGGAAACAACCCACUGAUUUGAAAACUGUCAGUAGACGACUGAGUUUCCGACCACAUGAUAAAAAGGCAUCACUGAUGAAAAGAGCCCAAAUAUUCAGCAUACCAAAGGAGAUGAUGCCUCCCUUAGGAAAAAUUGUGAAGCCCCCACAAUUGGGGUUGAAGCCCCUGCAACAACCAUGUCACCAGCUUAGGACUGAAAGAUAUACACUGGGGGCUUCCCUGGUGGCGCAGUGGU